UACUGGCCUGUCAAGUCGGUGU
RNAcentral lists this microRNA (22 nucleotides) under Branchiostoma floridae (Florida lancelet). RNAcentral's name for it is "bfl-miR-193b". Its record names the gene bfl-miR-193b. Lineage: Eukaryota; Metazoa; Chordata; Leptocardii; Amphioxiformes; Branchiostomatidae. The record is from miRBase by way of RNAcentral.